RNAcentral lists this small RNA (520 nucleotides) under uncultured Glomus. Its description in RNAcentral is "SSU rRNA". It matches the Rfam family "Eukaryotic small subunit ribosomal RNA", at positions 569 to 1089 of the family's 1831-position model. Lineage: Eukaryota; Fungi; Glomeromycota; Glomeromycetes; Glomerales; Glomeraceae. The record is from RNAcentral.
AGCAGCCGCGGUAAUUCCAGCUCCAAUAGCGUAUAUUAAAGUUGUUGCAGUUAAAAAGCUCGUAGUUGAAUUUCGGGAUCAAUAUUUCGGUCAUGCCGUUGGUAUGCACUGUUAUCAUUGAUUUCUCACCUUCUAAAGAACCGUAAUGCCAUUAAUUUGGUGUUACGGGGAAUUAGGACUGUUACCUUGAAAAAAUUAGAGUGUUUAAAGCAGGCUCACGCUUGAAUACAUUAGCAUGGAAUAAUGAAAUAGGACAUCCGAUUCUAUUUUGUUGGUUUCUAGGAUCGAUGUAAUGAUUAAUAGGGAUAGUUGGGGGCAUUAGUAUUCAAUUGUCAGAGGUGAAAUUCUUGGAUUUAUUGAAGACUAACUACUGCGAAAGCAUUUGCCAAGGAUGUUUUCAUUAAUCAAGAACGAAAGUUAGGGGAUCGAAGACGAUCAGAUACCGUCGUAGUCUUAACCAUAAACUAUGCCGACUAGGGAUCGGAUGAUGUUAAUUUUUUAAUGACUCAUUCGGCGCCUU